GAUGAACGCUGGCGGCGUGCCUAAUACAUGCAAGUCGAGCGAACGGACGAGAAGCUUGCUCCUCUGACGUUAGCGGCGGACGGGUGAGUAACACGUGGAUAACCUACCUAUAAGACUGGGAUAACUUCGGGAAACCGGAGCUAAUACCGGAUAAUAUAUUGAACCGCAUGGUUCAAUAGUGAAAGACGGUUUUGCUGUCACUUAUAGAUGGAUCCGCGCCGCAUUAGCUAGUUGGUAAGGUAACGGCUUACCAAGGCAACGAUGCGUAGCCGACCUGAGAGGUUGAUCGGCCACACUGGAACUGAGACACGGUCCGGACUCCUACGGGAGGCAGCAGUAGGGAAUCUUCCGCAAUGGGCGAAAGCCUGACGGAGCAACGCCGCGUGAGUGAUGAAGGUCUUCGGAUCGUAAAACUCUGUUAUUAGGGAAGAACAAAUGUGUAAGUAACUAUGCACGUCUUGACGGUACCUAAUCAGAAAGCCACGGCUAACUACGUG
Molecule: ribosomal RNA, 497 nt
Filed under: uncultured bacterium
Lineage: Bacteria
Description: partial 16S ribosomal RNA
Rfam family: Bacterial small subunit ribosomal RNA
Source: RNAcentral